CAGUCGCCGCGGGAAUACGAAGGGGGCUAGCGUUGUUCGGAAUUACUGGGCGUAAAGCGCACGUAGGCGGAUCGAUCAGUCAGGGGUGAAAUCCCAGGGCUCAACCCUGGAACUGCCUUUGAUACUGUCGAUCUGGAGUAUGGAAGAGGUGAGCGGAAUUCCGAGUGUAGAGGUGAAAUUCGUAGAUAUUCGGAGGAACACCAGUGGCGAAGGCGGCUCACUGGUCCAUUACUGACGCUGAGGUGCGAAAGCGUGGGGAGCAAACAGGAUUAGAUACCCGCGUAGUCCCUGUCUCUUAUAC
This 301-nucleotide ribosomal RNA is filed under the name uncultured bacterium. Its description in RNAcentral is "partial 16S ribosomal RNA". It matches the Rfam family "Bacterial small subunit ribosomal RNA", at positions 509 to 807 of the family's 1533-position model. The record is from RNAcentral.